CCUAGGUGACACUGGGCCAGGCACUGUGAAUAUACUAGAAAUCCAAGAAAGAAGAUUUAAAGCCCAUCUUCCAUUUUACAGAUGGAAACAGGACAGCCCAGAGAUGCUAACAAGCUCAUUUAAGAGUGCCUGUUGUUAUGUAUUUACCAGCACACCAUUGGGCAGAUUGCCUUAGGCUGAGGAGUGACCAGAGACCAGAUUGAACUCUUUGGAAAGAUUCCCAGAAGAGGGAGGGAAUCACCGAUGGAAAGAAGCUUCCAUCAGUGGAGGGACUAGGGGUGGUAAAUAAAAAUGUUUGAAUGCCACUGUUCAGCAGCUACAGACAAUCGCCAGGCCUGAUAUUCCAAGUCUGGAGGAGAGAGUGACCGCUGAGGAAGAGCAGGGUGAAGCUUGAAGACCCGAUGCCAGGCCCCAUGAAGCAGAAUGUCAGAAGCAGCUGUGGCUCCUGCCCCUAGGAGCGGUGCCGUCAACCCGCACCAGCCCCAGGACCGGGGCCUCAGCACGGGAGGGGGGCCGGCAGUGAGGGCCUUGCUCAUGGUGGCGAGUGCCCAGAGAGGGGAGGAGGGGAGGCCCCCGUGUCCUUGGCCCCACACAGUCGAGGGGAGGCUGAGGGCAGAAUGACCCACUUUCAGAGCAGCGUGGCUGUGACUGGGAUUGCUUCACAUGGUCAGUCUGCGUAUACAUGUCCGUCUUAAACUCUUCAAAACAGGCUGUUAAACAUCUGUAUCCUGUUUUCAUUAGCUUGUAAGCCAUGGUGAUGGGGACCUGCCUAGUUCUCUGAGCCAACAAGUGUGCCCAGAGGCUAAUAAACAGCAGGUGCCUCCAAUAAAUCUGAUUUUAAUACUCAGUGUAAA
Leptonychotes weddellii (Weddell seal) is the source of this 854-nucleotide non-coding RNA. Lineage: Eukaryota; Metazoa; Chordata; Mammalia; Carnivora; Phocidae. The record is from RefSeq and is a predicted model, not a curated record.